GCUGGGCGUGGCGGCGCACGCCUGUAAUCCCAGCUACUUGGGAGGCUGAGGCAGGAGAAUUGCUUGAACCCGGGAGACUGAGGCUGCAGUGAGCUGAGAUCUCACCAUUGCACUCCAGCCUGGGUGACAGAGUGAGACUCCAUCUCGA
Molecule: small RNA, 148 nt
Filed under: Pongo abelii (Sumatran orangutan)
Lineage: Eukaryota; Metazoa; Chordata; Mammalia; Primates; Hominidae
Description: Metazoan signal recognition particle RNA (ENSPPYG00000040774.1)
Source: Rfam by way of RNAcentral